GAUGAACGCUGGCGGCGUGCCUAAUACAUGCAAGUCGAGCGAACGGACGAGAAGCUUGCUUUUCUGAUGUUAGCGGCGGACGGGUGAGUAACACGUGGAUAACCUACCUAUAAGACUGGGAUAACUUCGGGAAACCGGAGCUAAUACCGGAUAAUAUUUUGAACCGCAUGGUUCAAAAGUGAAAGACGGUCUUGCUGUCACUUAUAGAUGGAUCCGCGCUGCAUUAGCUAGUUGGUAAGGUAACGGCUUACCAAGGUAACGAUGCAUAGCCGACCUGAGAGGGUGAUCGGCCACACUGGAACUGAGACACGGUCCAGACUCCUACGGGAGGCAGCAGUAGGGAAUCUUCCGCAAUGGGCGAAAGCCUGACGGAGCAACGCCGCGUGAGUGAUGAAGGUCUUCGGAUCGUAAAACUCUGUUAUUAGGGAAGAACAUAUGUGUAAGUAACUGUGCACAUCUUGACGGUACCUAAUCAGAAAGCCACGGCUAACUACGUG
RNAcentral lists this ribosomal RNA (497 nucleotides) under uncultured bacterium. RNAcentral describes it as "partial 16S ribosomal RNA". It matches the Rfam family "Bacterial small subunit ribosomal RNA", at positions 28 to 507 of the family's 1533-position model. The record is from RNAcentral.